Non-coding RNA from Oryctolagus cuniculus (rabbit), 1802 nucleotides. Lineage: Eukaryota; Metazoa; Chordata; Mammalia; Lagomorpha; Leporidae. The record is from RefSeq and is a predicted model, not a curated record.
GGUUAAUGAGUAACAUUUUUGGCGGGAUUUUUUAAUAUAGAGUUCCUUUUUCAGUUUGGAAAAAAAAUACUUCUAGUGUUAGUGAAGAUUUUGCCAUCUAAUUCCAUGGGCUUCCCGCUCUAUCACAUUCUCUACCUCUUCAUGCUUCCCGUCUGGGCACAAGACAUAUUCCUGCAGCAUAUUUACCUUUUGAUUUUGAGUUUGGUUUGUUUUGAGCUUUUCACGGCCAUUAACAAGUUCUUGACUUUUGCAAUGUCAAGUCAAGCAGAUUCUUCACAUAGGAUAAAGCAUAAAAAUAACGAGACGGCUGUUUUGGGAGGAAAUGUGACUAUUUUCUGCAAUUUAACAACGGUAGCAGAUGUUGUGCAAAUUACCUGGCAGAAGAUCCAAGAUUCUUUGCCACAAAAUAUUGCCACUUACAGCAGUAAAAAUGGAGAGAAGAUCCUUCCGCCAUACACAGAUAGGCUGCGUUGCAAGAGCAUCGAACCCAGUUCCUCAUUCAUAACUAUUCUUGAAGUGACAUUUGAAGACGAAGCCUGCUACAAAUGUUUGUUUAAUGUGUUUCCACACGGCAGCCGUGGAGGACAAAUCUGCCUUAACAUUUUAACUGUAUCCGCAUUAAGAACAGAGCUCCAGCUGAAUCCCGAAGGUUUUCUUAAUGUUCUGUACUCAGCUGUGGGAAAACCUGCUCCUCAAAUCGCUCUUUUCCCAUCACAAGCCCUCGUUAAACCACCAGAGGAGCAGCUUGUUCUGAACGCCAAUGGCACGGUGACUGUCACUAAGACGUGCAUUGUCUCCUUGGAGACUCUGAGGUCCUUAGGAUUCCAACAUCUGAUUGUGCACCUAGAUCACCCUUUAAAGAAGGAAGAAAUUAUUGUUCCUCUGUCAGUAGGACAAGAAUGUACUUGUUGUUUACCUGUAGUUGGUGGAUUCAUAACACUUUUAUGCAUUUCAUUUAUUGGCGUGAUCAUAUUCUGCAUUGUUCAAAAAAGAAAGAAGAAACGGUGAGUUAUAUUCCUACUUGUUUGAGGUCAAAGAAUAAGGGUGAAUCAACUCAAGUCCCUCUGAGAUCAUAAUGAGCCAUUCACCUCAUUCACCCAGGACCUCUGCCACCAUCACCAUUUGAAUGACUGCUUUAAUUUCUAUUUUUCUGAGUAUUCAUAAAUGUGGAAAAUACUAUGGAGGCUCUUCCAAAAAGUAAAGAUGAAACUACCAUUAUGGGGUAUAUCAAAAAGAUAUGAAAUCAGUACGCCAGAGACAUCUACACUUCCAUGUUUAUUGUAGCUGUAUUCACAAUAGGCAAGAGAAGAAAACAACCUAAGUGCUCAUCAUUGGAAUGAAUGGAUAAAGAAAAUAUAUAUAUACAAUAGAAUACUAUUCAAUGUACAGAAAGGUGAAAUCUUGUCAUUUUCUAUCACAUGGAUGAUCCAAAAGAAAAUUAUGUAAAGUGAAAUGAAUUGAUGCAGAGGACAAAUAUUGAAUGAUUUCCCUUGUAUGUGGACCCUAAAACAGUUGAGCAUAUAGGAGUAGAAUAGUGGUUAUAAGACUAUGAGGGUAAGUUACAUUUAGAUAAGAGGAGCAAAUUCUGAUGAUCUAGUAUGGAGUAGAAUGACUAUUGUUAGAAUAAUGUAGUGUGUAAUUCAAAAUAACUGGAAGAGAGGAUUUUGAAUAACAAAUCUUUGAAAUGAUUCAUAUUCUAAUUAUCAUAAUUUCAUCAUUAAAUGAUGUAUAGAUGUAUCAAAACAUCAUAUUGUACUACAUGAAAUUGUGCAAUUAUGUGUGAAUUAAAUUUUUUGAAAUAA